RNAcentral lists this ribosomal RNA (592 nucleotides) under Colletotrichum clidemiae. RNAcentral describes it as "eukaryotic LSU rRNA". The stretch from base 230 to 383 matches the Rfam family "5.8S ribosomal RNA". Lineage: Eukaryota; Fungi; Ascomycota; Sordariomycetes; Glomerellales; Glomerellaceae. The record is from RNAcentral.
UAGAGGAAGUAAAAGUCGUAACAAGGUCUCCGUUGGUGAACCAGCGGAGGGAUCAUUACUGAGUUUACGCUCUACAACCCUUUGUGAACAUACCUAUAACUGUUGCUUCGGCGGGUAGGGUCUCCGUGACCCUCCCGGCCUCCCGCCCCGGGCGGGUCGGCGCCCGCCGGAGGAUAACCAAACUCUGAUUUAACGACGUUUCUUCUGAGUGGUACAAGCAAAUAAUCAAAACUUUUAACAACGGAUCUCUUGGUUCUGGCAUCGAUGAAGAACGCAGCGAAAUGCGAUAAGUAAUGUGAAUUGCAGAAUUCAGUGAAUCAUCGAAUCUUUGAACGCACAUUGCGCCCGCCAGCAUUCUGGCGGGCAUGCCUGUUCGAGCGUCAUUUCAACCCUCAAGCUCUGCUUGGUGUUGGGGCCCUACAGCUGAUGUAGGCCCUCAAAGGUAGUGGCGGACCCUCCCGGAGCCUCCUUUGCGUAGUAACUUUACGUCUCGCACUGGGAUCCGGAGGGACUCUUGCCGUAAAACCCCCAAUUUUCCAAAGGUUGACCUCGGAUCAGGUAGGAAUACCCGCUGAACUUAAGCAUAUCAAUA